AGACGGGGUUUCACCGUGUUAGCCAGGAUGGUCCCGAACGCACUGCCAUUUCUUUGGUGCUGCACUAUGCCACCCCCACUCUCCCUUGUUUUCAGUGUUCCCAGCCACCCAAACUCUCAAGACUCCAUCGAUUUUCUGAGUCAGAUAAUGGGAGGUUUGUGAGAUGUCUUGAGGAUGCUUUCAAAACUCUAGGAGAUUUGGGAAUUCAUGAUUAUUAAUAUUGGGUUCAAAGACUCCUGAAUUUUGAACAAAUAUACAGACUGAAGCAAAAUAGAAAUAUAAUAGAAG
RNAcentral lists this long non-coding RNA (288 nucleotides) under Homo sapiens (human). Its description in RNAcentral is "HSALNT0305323". The record is from RNAcentral. Lineage: Eukaryota; Metazoa; Chordata; Mammalia; Primates; Hominidae.